This 932-nucleotide ribosomal RNA is filed under the name uncultured bacterium. Its description in RNAcentral is "partial 16S ribosomal RNA". It matches the Rfam family "Bacterial small subunit ribosomal RNA", at positions 78 to 1032 of the family's 1533-position model. The record is from RNAcentral.
AUUCNGAGGCGAGUAUGGUGGANAGCGGGNNNNNNACGNGUGACCAACCUGCCCUUGAGAGGAGAAUAACUACGGGAAACUGUAGCUAAUACUCCAUAAUAUCUGGACCUCCCCUGAGGACCAGAUCAAAGCCUUGUGCACUCAAGGAUGGGGUCGCGUCGGAUUAGCUCGUUGGUGAGGUAACGGAUCACCAAAGCAACAAUCCGUAGCUGGACUGAGAGGAUGAUCAACCACACUGGCACUGAGACACGGGCCANACUCCUACGGGAGGCAACAGUGGGGAAUCUUAGGCAAUGGGGGAAACCCUGACCUAGCCAUGCCGCGUGGAGGAAGACACCCCUAUGGGGCGUAAACUCCUUUUCUACCGGAAGAAAACCUCUUUUUGCGAGGCGUGACGGUACGGUAGGAAUAAGCACCGGCUAACUCCGUGCCAGCAGCCGCGGUAAUACGGAAGGUGCAAUCGUUGGCCGGAAUCUCUGGGCGUAAAGGGUGUGUAAGUGGGAUAGCAAGUCNGAGGUGAAAGCCUGCGGCUUAACCGUAGAAAUGCCUUUGAAACUGCUAUUCUUGANUCCUGGAGAAGNUGCUGGAAAUCAUGGUGUAGCGGUGAAAUGCAUAGAUAUCACNAAGAACACCNGAGGCAUAAGCGAGAACUGGACGGGGACUGACACUGANUCACAAGAGCGUGGAAGCAACAAGAUAGAUACCCUGGUAACCACACCGUAAACGAUGAAUGCUCGCGUACUCCACGUAAGAGUAUGGCUAAAUUAACNGUUACCACUCGCUUGAGAUACGAUCGCAAAUGAAACUCAGAGANUUGACUGGNCCAGCCAACCAAGGACAAGUGGUUAAUCGUAGCAAGCGAGAACCUACCUAGGUCGAACCUCCUACAGACAAAAGAGCCUCCUCANGAACAGAUGAGAACUAUGUGUAUA